RNAcentral lists this long non-coding RNA (1122 nucleotides) under Ornithorhynchus anatinus (platypus). RNAcentral's name for it is "lncRNA (ENSOANG00000037741.1)". Lineage: Eukaryota; Metazoa; Chordata; Mammalia; Monotremata; Ornithorhynchidae. The record is from RNAcentral.
CUUCCCAAUCUUAUCUCCGAUAAAGGUUUUCUUUUUUAAUUUACCACAAAGCACCAAAAACCUUAUUCUGCUCGGAUAUUUUCCCCACCCAAUGAACACAAAAAUACCCCCCCCCCCCCCCCGCCACCCCCGCCAUCGAAGCAGUACAGUCCUUGACCACAGCUCUCUAUUCUUCGGGGCUUUCCAUUAAAUCUCUAUUUUCAUCCUUUUAAAAAGAUCAGUGGAGAGGAGUUGCAAAGUUUAGGGGGAGAAAAGACUGUUCCACCUCGAAGGCCGGCAUUUCCUCACAACAGUGUCAAUGUCGUUGGCUGCCAGGAACAGUUCCCUUCAUCCUUCAAGACUCCUUCAAGAUUUAGAAGCCGACAUUUCCACUUUGGCAACUGCGAAGGAUCUGCGAGGUGAAAUCUCAUCCCAAGAUCAAAAGUUACCAAGAGUUCAGUGUUGAUUGGAUCAAUGUUUCUGAGUCACACAGUCCUGUUUUUGAGCCGACCCAGGAACCCAGAGUCAGCACCUCUGUAAGACUGACAGACAAUGCUCUCUGGACUUGACGGGGGCUAUUAGUCCUACAGCCAAAGGGUAAGUCGCUCAGAACUCAUGUAGUGUCACUGACAAUACAGUGGUUGUUAUCACAAAAUGUCCCCCAGAGCCACCCGCAUGGCAUAACACUGGUUCUGGGUGAACAAAGAUCUUUGCAAGGAGCUCUGCAGAAACAUUACAGAUAACCCAAACAGGAUUUCAGCAUGAAGUGUGAAUGGGCAAGCUAAUAAUAACUGUGGUAUAGGUUAAGCGCUUACUUUAUGUCAAGCACUGUAGUAAGCACUGGAGAAGCUGCGAGCUAAUCAGGUUGGACACAUUGUCACACAUGGAGCUUACAGUCUGUGAAUAGGCUCCAAGCAGCUCUCCUUUAUUUUUGACCAAGCUGACAACAAAACACUGCAUAGAGUUAGUCUAAGCCACCGAAAUUGCUUAGAGGGUAAUGACUCGGAGGUAAAAAGAAUACCCUCAGCAAACUUGAAGUCUUAUAAUAGAAAUCUGGGUUGUGUCAGGCAAACCCAGUUAAGGGACUUGCACCACAAAGGUUGCGAUAUCAAAGAUGAAAAGAUCCAAGGCCAUGAAGAUGAC